RNAcentral lists this long non-coding RNA (7311 nucleotides) under Brassica napus (rape). Its description in RNAcentral is "long non-coding RNA (BNAP_LNC012768)". The record is from RNAcentral. Lineage: Eukaryota; Viridiplantae; Streptophyta; Magnoliopsida; Brassicales; Brassicaceae.
UAUUUUUGGAAAAUUUUCAUUUUUUAGAGAAAUAUUGUAGAUUUUGGUUUGUGAUUUAAAAAUUUGGAUAACAAGAAUAUUUGUGGAUAUAUGAGUAUUAUUUAAGAUUUUUUGAUCAAUGUGUUGUAUUUUAAAAUAAUUUUCUUAAAAACAGCUAUUUUUGGAAAGUUUUCAUUUUAUAGAUAAAUAUUGUAGAUUUGGGUUUGUGAUUUAGAAAUUAGGAUAACUAGACUAUUUGUGGACAGAUGAAUACUCUUUAAGAAUUUUUCAUCAAUAUGUUAUAUUUUCAAAAAAAAAUUUAAAAACGGCCAUUUUUGAAAAGUUUUCAUUUUUCAGAGAAAUAUUAUAGAUUUGGGUUUGUGAUUUAUAAAUUAGGAUAACAAGAAUAUUUGUGGAGAGAUGAGUAUUUUUCGGAGUUUUUCAUCAAUAGGUUGUAUUUUUAAAUAAUUUUCUUAAAAACUGAUAUUUUUGGAAAGUUUUCAUUUUUUUAGAGAAUUAUUGUAGAUUUGAGUUUGUGGUUUAAUAAUUAAGAUAACAAGAAUAUAUGUGGAUAGUUGAGUAUUAUUUAAGAAAUAUUGUAUUGUAGAUUUGGAAAGUUUUCAUUUCUUUGAUAAAUAUUGUAGAUUUGGAUUUGAGAUUUAGAAAUUAGGAUAACUAUACUAUUUGUGGACAGAUGAAUACUCUUUAUGAAUUUUUUAUCAAUAUGUUGUAUUUUUUAAUAAUUUUCUUAAAAACUGCUAUUUUUGGAAAAUUUUUAUUUUAUAGAUAAAUAUUAUAGAUUUAGAUUCGUGAUUUAGAAAUUAUGAUAACUAGACUAUUUGUGGACAAAUGAAUACUCUUCAAAAAUGUUUUAUCAAUAUGUUGUAUUUAUAAAUAAUUUUCAUAAAAACUGCUAUUUCUAGAAAGUUUUCAUUUUAUAGAUAAAUAUUGUAGAUUUGAGUUUGUGAUUUAGAAAUUAUGAUAACUAUACUAUUUGUGGACAGAUGAAUACUCUUUAGGAAUUUUUUAUCAAUAUGUUGUAUUUUUUAAUAAUUUUCUUAAAAACUGCUAUUUUUGGAAAGUUUUCAUUUUAUAGAUAAAUAUUGUAGAUUUGAAGUUUGUGAUUUAGAAAUUAGGAUAACACGAAUAUCUGUGGAUAGUUAUCCUUUAGAAAUUUUCAUCAAUAUGUUGUACUUUUGAAUAAUUUUCUUAAAAACAACUAUUUUUGGAAAGUUUUCAUUUUUUAGAGAAAUAUUGUAGAUUUGAGUUUGUGGUUUAAAAAUUAAGAUAACAAGAAUAACUGUGUAUAGUUGAGUAUUGUUUUAGAAAUUUUCAUCAACAAGUUGUAUUUUAAAUAAGUUUCUUAAAAACUUCUAUUUUUGGAAAGUUUUCAUUUUUAGAGAAGUAUUGUAGAUUUAGGUUUGUGAUUUAAAAAUUAGGAUAACAAGAAUAUUUGUGGAUAGAGGAAUAUUAUUUAAGAAUUUUUCAUCAAUGUGUUGUAUUUUUAAAUAAUUUUCUUAAGAACUGCUAUUUUUGAAAAGUUUCCAUUUUUAGAUAAAUAUUGUAGAAUUGGGGUUUGUGAAUAACAAGAAUAUUUGUGGAUAGAUGAGUAUUUUUUUGGAGUUUUUCAUCAAUAGGUUGUAUUUUUAAAUAAUUUUAUUAAAAGUUGCUAUUUUUUGGAAACUUUACAUUUUUUAGAGAAAUAUUGUAGAUUUGAGUUUGUGGUUUAUAAUUAAGAUAACAAGAAUAUUUGUUGAUAGUUGAGUACUCUUUAAGAAAUUUUCAUCAUUGUGUCGUAUUUUUUAAAAAAAUUCUUAAAAACUACUAUUUUUAAGUUUACAUUUUUUAGAAAAAUAUUGUAGAUUGGAGUUUGUGGUUUAAAAAUUAAUAUAACAAGUAUAUUUGUGAAUAAUUGGGUAUUCUUUUAGAAAAUUUCAUAAACAAGUUGUAUUUUAAAUAAUUUUCUUUAAAGCUGCUAUUUUUAGAAAAAAAUCAUUUACUAAAGAAAUAUUGUUGAUUUGGGUUUUGUGAUUUAGAAAUUAGGAUAACAAGAAUUUUAUGGAUAGAUGAGUAUUACUUCAGAAUUUUUCAACAAUAGGUUAUAUUUUUAACCAUUUUUGUAAAACCUGCUAUUUUUGGAAAGUUUUAAUUUUAUAGAUAAAUAUUGUAGAUCUGGGUUUGUGAUUUAGAAAUUAUGAUAACUAGACUAUUUUUUGACAGAUGAAUAUUCUUUAAGAAUAUAUCAUCAAUAUAUGGUAUUUUUAAAUAAUUUUCAUAAAAACUGGUAUUUUUGGAAAUUUUUCAUUUUUUAGAGAAAUGUUGAAGAUUUGAGUUUGUGAUUUAGAAAUUAGAGUAACAAGAAUAUUUGUGGAUAGAUGAGUAUUGUUUCGGAGUUUUUCAUCAAUUGGUUGUAUUUUUAAAUAAUUUUCUUAAAAACUGCUAUUUGUGGAAAGUUUACAUUUUUUUAGAGAAAUACUGUAGAUUUGAGUUUGUGGUUUAAAAAUUAAGAUAACAAAAAUAUUUGUGGAUAGAUAAGUAUUAUUUAAGAAUUUUUCAUCAAUGUAUUGUAUUUUUAAAUAAUUUUCUUAAAAACUGCUAUUUUUGGAAAGUUUUCAUUUUUUAGAGAAAUAUUGUAGAUUUGGGUUUGCGAUUUAGAAAUUAGGAUAACUAGACUAUUUGUGGACAGAUGAAUACUCUUUAAAAAUGUUUUAUCAAUAUUUUGUAUUUUUAAAUAAUUUUCUUAAAAUUUGCUAUUUCUAGAAAGUUUUCAUUUUAUAGAUAAAUAUUGUAGAUUUGGGUUUGUGAUUUAAAAAUUAAGAUAACAAAAAUAUUUGUUGAUAGUGUAGAUUUAGGUUUGUGAUUUAAAAAUUAGGAUAACAAGAAUAUUUGUGGAUAGAUGAAUAUUAUUUAAGAAUUUUUCAUCAAUGUGUUGUAUUUUUAAAUAAUUUUCUUAAAAAGAGUUAUUUCUGGAAAGUUUUCAUUUUAUAGAUAAAUAUUGUAGAUUUGAGUUUGUGAUUUAGAAAUUAAGAUGACUAUUUGUGGACAAAUGAAUACUCUUUGAGAAUUUUUCAUCAAUAUGUUGUAUUUUUAAAUAAUUUUCUUAAAAACUGCUAUUUUUAGAAAGUUUUCAUUUUUGGAGAAAUAUUGUAGAUUUGGGUUCGCGAUUUAGAAAUUAGGAUAACUAGACUAUUUGUGGACAGAUGAAUAAACUUUAAAAAUGUUUUAUCAAUAUUUCAUAUUUUUAAAUAAUUUUCUUAAAAACUGCUAUUUCUAUAAAGUUGUCACUUUAUAGAUAAAUAUUGUAGAUUUAGAUUUGUGAUUUAGAAAUUAGGAUAACAAUUAUAUUUGUGGAUAGAUGAGUAUCAUUUAAGAUUUUUUCAUCAAUGUGUUGUAUUUUUAUAUAAUUUCCUUAAAAAAUGCUAUUUCUGGAAAGUUUUCAUUUUGUAGAUAAAUAUUGUAGAUUUGGGUUUGUGAUUUAGAAAUUAGGAUAACUAGACUAUUGGUGGACAGAUGUAUACUCUUUAAGAAAUUUUCAUCAACAAGUUGUAUUUUAAAUAAGUUUCUUAAAAACUUCUAUUUUUGGAAAGUUUUCAUUUUUUAAAGAAAAAUAAUUUUAUUAAAAGUUGCUAUUUUUCGGAAACUUUACAUUUUUUUAGAGAAAUAUUGUAGAUUUGAGUUUGUGGUUUAUAAUUAGGAUAACAAGAAUAUUUGUGGAUAGAUGAAUAUUAUUUAAGAAUUUUUCAUCAAUGUGUUGUAUUUUUAAAUAAUUUUCUUAAAAACUGUUAUUUUUGAAAAGUUUCCAUUUUUAGAUAAAUAUUGUAGAAUUGGGGUUUGUGAAUAACAAGAAUAUUUGUGGAUAGAUGAGUAUUUUUCGGAGUUUUUCAUCAAUAGGUUGUAUUUUUAAAUAAUUUUCUUAAAAACUGUUAUUUUUGAAAAGUUUCCAUUUUUAGAUAAAUAUUGUAGAAUUGGGGUUUGUGAAUAACAAGAAUAUUUGUGGAUAGAUGAGUAUUUUUCGGAGUUUUUCAUCAAUAGGUUGUAUUUUUAAAUAAUUUUAUUAAAAGUUGCUAUUUUUCGGAAACUUUACAUUUUUUUAGAGAAAUAUUGUAGAUUUGAGUUUGUGGUUUAUAAUUAGGAUAACAAGAAUAUUUGUGGAUAGUUGAGUACUCUUUAAGAAAUUUUCAUCAUUAUGUUGUAUUUUUUUAAAAAAUUCUUAAAAACUACUAUUUUUUGAAAGUUUAUAUUGUUAAGAGAAAUAUUGUAGAUUUGAGUUUGUGGUUUAAAAAUUAAGAUAACAAGUAUAUUUGUGGGUAGUUGGGUAUUCUUUUAGAAAAUUUCAAAAACAAGUUGUAUUUUAAAUAAUUUUCUCUAAAGCUGCUAUUUUUAGAAAAAAUUCAUUUACUAAACAAAUAUUGUUGAUUUGUGUUUUGUGAUUUAGAAAUUAGGAUAACAAAAAUUUUAUGGAUAGAUGGGUAUUCUUUCAGAAUUCUUCAACAAUAGGUUGUAUUUUUAACCAUUUUUGUAAAGCCUGCUAUUUUUGGAAAGUUUUAAUUUUAUAGAUAAAUAUUGUAGGUCUGGGUUUGUGAUUUAGAAAUUAUGAUAACUAGACUAUUUGUUGACAGAUGAAUAUUCUUUAAGAAUAUAUCAUCAAUAUAUGGUAUUUUUAAAUAAUUUUCAUAAAAAUUGGUGUCUUUGGAAUUUUUUCAUUUUUUAAAGAAAUAUUGUAGAUUUGAGUUUGUGAUUUAGAAAUUAGAGUAACAAGAAUAUUUGUGGAUAGAUGAGUAUUGUUUCGGAGUUUUUCAUCAAUUGGCUGUAUUUUUAAAUAAUUUUCUUAAAACAAUUAUUUUUGGAAAGUUUACAUUUUUUUAGACAAAUACUGUAGAUUUGAGUUUGUGGAUUAAAAAUUAGGAUAACAAAAUAUUUGUGGAUAAAUGAGUAUUAUUUAAGAAUUUUUCAUCAAUGUGUUGUAUUUUUAAAUAAUUUUCUUAAAAACAGUUUUUUCUGGAAAGUUUUCAUUUUAUAGAUAAAUAUUGUAGAUUUGGGUUUGUGAUUUAGAAAUUAGGAUGACUAUUUGUGGACAAAUGAAUACUCUUUGAGAAUUUUUCAUCAAUAUAUUGUAUUUUUAAAUAAUUUUCUUAAAAACUGCUAUUUUUGGAAAGUUUUCAUUUUUUAGAGAAAUAUUGUAGAUUUGGGUUUGCGAUUUAGAAAUUAGGAUAACUAGACUAUUUGUGGACAGAUGAAUACUCUUUAAAAAUGUUUUAUCAAUAUUUUGUAGUUUUAAAUAAUUUUCUUAAAAACUGAUAUUUCUGGAAAGUUUUCAUUUUCUAGAUAAAUAUUGUAGAUUUGGGUUUGUGAUUUAUAAAUUAGGGUAACAAUAAUAUUUGUGGAUAGAUGAGUAUCAUUUAAGAAUUUUUCAUCAAUGUGUUGUAUUUUUAAAUAAUUUUCUUAAAAAAUGCUAUUUCUGAAAAGUUUUCAUUUUGUAGAUAAAUAUUGUAGAUUUGGGUUUGUGAUUUAGAAAUUAGGAUAACUAGACUAUUUGUGGACAGAUGAAUACUCUUUAAAAAUGUUUUAUCAAUAUUUUGUAGUUUUAAAUAAUUUUCUUAAAAACUGAUAUUUCUAGAAAGUUUUCAUUUUAUAGAUAAAUAUUGUAGAUUUGGGUUUGUGAUUUAUAAAUUAGGGUAACAAUAAUAUUUGUGGAUAGAUGAGUAUCAUUUAAGAAUUUUUCAUCAAUGUGUUGUAUUUUUAAAUAAUUUUCUUAAAAAAUGCUAUUUCUGAAAAGUUUUCAUUUUGUAGAUAAAUAUUGUAGAUUUGGGUUUGUGAUUUAGAAAUUAGGAUAACUAGACUAUUUGUGGACAGAUGUAUACUCUUUAAGAAAUUUUCAUCAAUAUGUUGUAUUUUAAAAUAAUUUUCUUAAAAACUGAUAUUUUUGGAAAGUUUUCAUUUUAUAGAUAAAUAUUGUAGAUUUGGGUUUGUGAUUUAUAAAUUAGGGUAACAAUAAUAUUUGUGGAUAGAUGAGUAUCAUUUAAGAAUUUUUCAUCAAUGUGUUGUAUUUUUAAAUAAUUUUCUUAAAAAAUGCUAUUUCUGAAAAGUUUUCAUUUUGUAGAUAAAUAUUGUAGAUUUGGGUUUGUGAUUUAGAAAUUAGGAUAAAUAGACUAUUUGUGGACUGAUGAAUACUCUUUAAGAAUUUUUUAUCAAUAUGUUGUAUUUUUAAAUAAUUUUCUGAAAAACUGCUAUUUUUGAAAAGUUUUCAUUUUAUAGAUAAAUAUUGUAGAUUUGGAUUUGUGAUUUAGAAAUUAGGAUAACUAGACUAUUUGUGGACAGAUGUAUACUCUUUAAGAAAUUUUCAUCAAUAUGUUGUAUUUUAAAAUAAUUUUCUUAAAAACUGAUAUUUUUGGAAAGUUUUCAUUUCUUUGAUAAAUAUUGUAGAUUUGGGUUUGUGAUUUAGAAAUUAGGAUAAAUAGACUAUUUGUGGACUGAUGAAUACUCUUUAAGAAUUUUUUAUCAAUAUGUUGUAUUUUUAAAUAAUUUUCUGAAAAACUGCUAUUUUUGAAAAGUUUUCAUUUUAUAGAUAAAUAUUGUAGAUUUGGAUUUGAGAAUUAGAAAUUAGGAUAACUAGACUAUUUGUGGCAGAUGAAUACUCUUUAAAAAAUUUUCAUCAACAGGUUGUAUUUUUAAAUAAUUUUCUUAAAAGCUGCUAUUUCUGAAAAGUUUACAUUUUUUUUGAGAAAUACUAUAGAUUUGACUUUGUGAUUUAUAAAUUAAGAUAACAAUAAUAUUUGUGGAUAGUUUAGUAGUUUUUUAGAAAUUUUCAUCAACAAGUUGUAUUUUAAAUAAUUUUCUUAAAAACUUCUAUUUUUGGAAUUUUUUCAUUUUUUUAGAGAAAUAUUAUAGAUUUGGGUUUGUGAUUAAAAAAUUAGGAGAACAAGAAUAUUUGUGUAUAGAUGAGUAUUCUUUUAGAAAUUUUCAUCAGUAAGUUGUAUUUUUAAUAAUUUUCUAUAAACUUCAAUUUUUGGAAAAUUUUCAUUUUUUAGGGAAAUAUUGUAGAUUUGGGUUUGUGAUUUAAAAAUUAGGAUAACUAGAAUAUUUGUGGAUAGAUGAGUAUUAUUUAAGAAUUUUUCAUUAAUGUGUUGUAUUUUUAAAUAAUUUUCUUAAAAACUGCUAUUUUUGGAAAGUUUUCAUUUCUUUGAUAAAUAUUGUAGAUUUGAAUUUGUGAUUUAGAAAUUAGGAUAACUAGACUAUUUGUGGACAGAUGAAAACUCUUUAAGAAUUUUUCAUCAAUAGGUUGUAUUUUUAAAUAUUUUUCUUAAAAACUGCUAUUUUUGGAAAGUUUUCAUU